AUUAUAUUGGUGGAAUUUAAUUCGUUGUACUCUAGUUGGAUAACACGAGAAACUCUCAUGCUAAAACAUGCAUUUAUCAAUUCACUAUCGGAAGAUCGGAUUUCACACGUACAAUUGAAACUAAAGGAGCUUCCAAUGCAUCAUCUAGUACGUGGGGUAAAGGCUUACCUAGGAAGUAACGCACACGGAAUAUUUGGGUAUGAUUCCGGAGAAUGAGCACNAGUGACGGCUCAUAGUUCUAAGGAAGGCAGCAGGCGCGAAAAUUGCCCAAUGUACGUAAAUUACUACGAGGCAGAGACAAAGUAUCGCAGGGAGAUUUAUCUCCACUGUGAUGAAUUUUCUUUACACACUUUGAAUAAUGCAAGUCAUGGGAAAGCAUGGUGCCAGCAGCCGCGGUAAUUCCAUCAUGACAAACUUUUCCUUACGGUGCUGCAUUUAAAGAGCUCGUAGCUUCUAUAAUAAUUAUCUUGAUCAAAUCAUAUCCGCUCCAANAUGCACGCAGUGUGUUUAAGCAAGUAAUAAUUCAGGCCGCCCAUGCGGUCUACAGGCUUGGGAAAUAUGCUUUAUCGUGAUGGGACAGGUGAAAUAGGAUGAUCAUCACGGGAGCGUCUACGGCGGUGGCUGUAUAUAACCCAGUCUUGGCUGGUCAAGAGCGAAAGCAUAGGGAUAGACGUCGAUUAGAGACCGAUUUAUUCUGUGCCUUAAAUGUUGUGAUCCGGGUUUACGGACCACUAGGCCUAUCUUCCCAUGAGAAAUCCUGAGUUUACGCACCAUGGGGGGAGUAUGGUCGCAAGGCUGAAACUUGAAGGUAUUGACGGAAAGAUACCACCAGACGUGGAGUCUGCGGCUUAAUUUGACUCAACGCGACAAUCUUACUAGACCCAGAUACUUUGCUGUACUUCAGCUUGAAAGUGCUUAAGUGAAUGAGUAGAUGGUGGUGCAUGGCCGCUCCUAGUUCGUGGUAUGAACUGUCUGCUUCAUUGCGAUAACGAGCGAGAUGGCCAUCCUGAUUUUUCGGGAGAUUGCCAGCGAUGAGCUGGAUGAAAGUGGCCGCGCUAGCAGGUCUGUGAUGCCCUUAAACACUCUAGGCCGCACGCGUACUACAAUGUGUAGCAUAAAACGUUGUGGUAGAGAAAUCUUCCACUAUCAUUAACACUCCGACGUGGUUGGGACUGCGGUUUGGAAUUCCUUCCCGCACCAACGAGGAAUGUCUAGUAGUUCUGCCUCAUUAUUGCAGGCCGACUACGUCCCUGUCUUUUGUACACACCGCCCGUCGCUCCUACCGAUGGUGCUGUAGUUGAGUUGUUCGGAGGAG
This 1315-nucleotide ribosomal RNA is filed under the name Spironucleus vortens. Its description in RNAcentral is "partial small subunit ribosomal RNA". It matches the Rfam family "Eukaryotic small subunit ribosomal RNA", at positions 100 to 1718 of the family's 1831-position model. Lineage: Eukaryota; Fornicata; Diplomonadida; Hexamitidae. The record is from RNAcentral.